CUGUGCUGACGAGUGGCGGACGGGCGAGUAACGCGUGGGAAUCUACCCAGAAGUUCGGGACAACCUGGUGAAAACCAGGCUAAUACCGGAUAAUGUCUACGGAUGAAAGGAGGGGAUCUUCGGACCUUCCGCUUUUGGAUGAGCCCGCGUUAGAUUAGCUAGUUGGUGGGGUAAAGGCCUACCAAGGCGACGAUCUAUAGCUGGUCUGAGAGGAUGAUCAGCCACACUGGGACUGAGACACGGCUCAGACUCCUACGGGAGGCAGCAGUGGGGAAUAUUGGACAAUGGGGGCAACCCUGAUCCAGCAAUACCGCGUGUGUGAAGAAGGCCUGAGGGUUGUAAAGCACUUUCAAUUGUGAAGAAAAGUUGCGGGUUAAUAACCUGUGACCUUGACGUUAACUUUAGAAGAAGCACCGGCUAACUCCGUGCCAGCAGCCGCGGUAAUACGGAGGGUGCGAGCGUUAAUCGGAAUUACUGGGCGUAAAGCGUGCGUAGGCGGUUAUUUAAGUCAGAUGUGAAAGCCCAGGGCUCAACCUUGGAACUGCAUUUGAAACUGGGUAACUAGAGUUUGGUAGAGGUGAGUAGAAUUCCUAGUGUAGCGGUG
RNAcentral lists this ribosomal RNA (604 nucleotides) under uncultured bacterium. Its description in RNAcentral is "bacterial SSU rRNA". It matches the Rfam family "Bacterial small subunit ribosomal RNA", at positions 83 to 683 of the family's 1533-position model. The record is from RNAcentral.